RNAcentral lists this ribosomal RNA (491 nucleotides) under uncultured bacterium. Its description in RNAcentral is "partial 16S ribosomal RNA". It matches the Rfam family "Bacterial small subunit ribosomal RNA", at positions 29 to 507 of the family's 1533-position model. The record is from RNAcentral.
GUGAACGCUGGCGGUAGGCCUAACACCUGCAAGUCGAACGGCAGCACAGUAAGAGCUUGCUCUUACGGGUGGCGAGUGGCGGACGGGUGAGGAAUACAUCGGAAUCUACUUUUUCGUGGGGGAUAACGUAGGGAAACUUACGCUAAUACCGCAUACGACCUACGGGUGAAAGCAGGGGAUCGUCGGACCUUGCGCGAUUGAAUGAGCCGGUGUCGGAUUAGCUAGUUGGCGGGGUAAAGGCCCACCAAGGCGACGAUCCGUAGCUGGUCUGAGAGGAUGAGCAGCCACACUGGAACUGAGACACGGUCCAGACUCCUACGGGAGGCAGCAGUGGGGAAUAUUGGACAAUGGGCGCAAGCCUGAUCCAGCCAUACCGCGUGGGUGAAGAAGGCCUUCGGGUUGUAAAGCCCUUUUGUUGGGAAAGAAAAGCAGCAGGUUAAUACCCCGCUGUUCUGACGGUACCCAAAGAAUAAGCACCGGCUAACUUCGUG